UACGGGGGGGGCAAGCGUUGUUCGGAAUUACUGGGCGUAAAGGGCUCGUAGGUGGCCAACUAAGUCAGACGUGAAAUCCCUCGGCUUAACCGGGGAACUGCGUCUGAUACUGGAUGGCUUGAGUGUGGGAGAGGGAUGCGGAAUUCCAGGUGUAGCGGUGAAAUGCGUAGAUAUCUGGAGGAACACCGGUGGCGAAGGCGGCAUCCUGGACCAAUACUGACACUGAGGAGCGAAAGCCAGGGGAGCAAACGGG
This 253-nucleotide ribosomal RNA is filed under the name uncultured bacterium. RNAcentral's name for it is "partial 16S ribosomal RNA". It matches the Rfam family "Bacterial small subunit ribosomal RNA", at positions 524 to 776 of the family's 1533-position model. The record is from RNAcentral.